RNAcentral lists this ribosomal RNA (468 nucleotides) under uncultured bacterium. RNAcentral describes it as "partial 16S ribosomal RNA". It matches the Rfam family "Bacterial small subunit ribosomal RNA", at positions 28 to 507 of the family's 1533-position model. The record is from RNAcentral.
GACGAACGCUGGCGGCGUGCUUAACACAUGCAGGUCGAACGGAAAGGCCCUGCUUUUGUGGGGUGCUCGAGUGGCGAACGGGUGAGUAACACGUGAGUAACCUGCCCUUGACUUUGGGAUAACUUCAGGAAACUGGGCCUAAUACCGGAUAGGAGCUCCUGCUGCAUGGUGGGGGUUGGAAAGUUUCGGCGGUUGGGGAUGGACUCGCGGCUUAUCAGCUUGUUGGUGGGGUAGUGGCUUACCAAGGCUUUGACGGGUAGCCGGCCUGAGAGGGUGACCGGCCACAUUGGGACUGAGAUACGGCCCAGACUCCUACGGGAGGCAGCAGUGGGGAAUAUUGCACAAUGGGCGGAAGCCUGAUGCAGCAACGCCGCGUGCGGGAUGACGGCCUUCGGGUUGUAAACCGCUUUCGCCUGUGACGAAGCGUGAGUGACGGUAAUGGGUAAAGAAGCACCGGCUAACUACGUG